UCCUGGAUCGUCUAAUGGUAGGACAGCAGAAUUUGGGUCUGUUUAUCGGGGUUCGAAUCCCUGUCCGGGAA
Molecule: transfer RNA, 71 nt
Filed under: Armatimonadota bacterium
Lineage: Bacteria; Bacillati; Armatimonadota
Description: Armatimonadetes bacterium (glacier metagenome) tRNA-Gln
Rfam family: tRNA
About the family: Transfer RNA (tRNA) molecules are approximately 80 nucleotides in length.
Source: RNAcentral